ACGAAAGUAGGCUUCCAGAUCGCCGCAGAACUGUAUCAUGGUGGGGGUGGAAGGGCAGAAAGAGAGUCCCCGAGUUAGGACAGACUUUUCUCUUCUGGGCUGAGUGUGUAGUGUGGAC
Molecule: long non-coding RNA, 118 nt
Organism: Gopherus evgoodei (Goodes thornscrub tortoise)
Lineage: Eukaryota; Metazoa; Chordata; Testudines; Testudinidae
Exons: 3
Source: RefSeq, a predicted model, not a curated record